RNAcentral lists this ribosomal RNA (1128 nucleotides) under Furfurilactobacillus rossiae. Its description in RNAcentral is "bacterial SSU rRNA". It matches the Rfam family "Bacterial small subunit ribosomal RNA", at positions 355 to 1475 of the family's 1533-position model. Lineage: Bacteria; Bacillati; Bacillota; Bacilli; Lactobacillales; Lactobacillaceae. The record is from RNAcentral.
UAGGGAAUCUUCCACAAUGGGCGCAAGCCUGAUGGAGCAACGCCGCGUGAGUGAAGAAGGGUUUCGGCUCGUAAAACUCUGUUGUUAAAGAAGAACGUAUCUGAGAGUAACUGUUCAGAUAGUGACGGUAUUUAACCAGAAAGCCACGGCUAACUACGUGCCAGCAGCCGCGGUAAUACGUAGGUGGCAAGCGUUAUCCGGAUUUAUUGGGCGUAAAGGGAGUGCAGGCGGUUAUUUAAGUCUGAUGUGAAAGCCUUCGGCUUAACCGGAGAAGGGCAUCGGAAACUGGAUAACUUGAGUGCAGAAGAGGGUAGUGGAACUCCAUGUGUAGCGGUGGAAUGCGUAGAUAUAUGGAAGAACACCAGUGGCGAAGGCGGCUACCUAGUCUGUAACUGACGCUGAGGCUCGAAAGCAUGGGUAGCAAACAGGAUUAGAUACCCUGGUAGUCCAUGCCGUAAACGAUGAAUACUAGGUGUUAAGGGGGGGUUCCGCCCCUUAGUGCCGCAGCUAACGCAAUAAGUAUUCCGCCUGGGGAGUACGACCGCAAGGUUGAAACUCAAAGGAAUUGACGGGGACCCGCACAAGCGGUGGAGCAUGUGGUUUAAUUCGAAGCUACGCGAAGAACCUUACCAGGGCUUGACAUCUUCUGCUAAUCCGAGAGAUCGGACGUUCCCUUCGGGGACGGAAAGACAGGUGGUGCAUGGUUGUCGUCAGCUCGUGUCGUGAGAUGUUGGGUUAAGUCCCGCAACGAGCGCAACCCUUAUGAUUAGUUGCCAGCAUUAAGUUGGGCACUCUAAUGAGACUGCCGGUGACAAACCGGAGGAAGGUGGGGACGACGUCAAAUCAUCAUGCCCCUUAUGUCCUGGGCUACACACGUGCUACAAUGGAUGGUACAACGAGCAGCGAAGUCGCGAGGCCAAGCAAAUCUCUUAAAGCCAUUCUCAGUUCGGACUGUAGGCUGCAACUCGCCUACACGAAGUCGGAAUCGCUAGUAAUCGCGGAUCAGCAUGCCGCGGUGAAUACGUUCCCGGGUCUUGUACACACCGCCCGUCACACCAUGAGAGUUUGUAACACCCAAAGUCGGUGGGGUAACCUUCGGGAGCCAACCGCCUAAGGUGGACAGAUGAU